RNAcentral lists this ribosomal RNA (434 nucleotides) under Oedosmylus latipennis. RNAcentral describes it as "partial large subunit ribosomal RNA". It matches the Rfam family "Archaeal large subunit ribosomal RNA", at positions 1946 to 2613 of the family's 2987-position model. Lineage: Eukaryota; Metazoa; Arthropoda; Insecta; Neuroptera; Osmylidae. The record is from RNAcentral.
CUAACCUGCCCACUGAUUUAUUAAAGGGCCGCGGUAUAUUGACUGUGCAAAGGUAGCAUAAUCAUUUGUCUUUUAAUUGAAGGCUGGAAUGAAUGGUUGAAUGAAGUAUUAACUGUCUCAUUCUAAAAAAAAUAAAAAUUUAAUUUUUUAGUCAAAAAGCUAAAAUAAAUUUAGAGGACGAGAAGACCCUAUAGAUCUUUAUAAUAAAAUUUUAUAAAAAUUUUUAGAAUAAAAAAAAAAUUAUUAAAUUAAAUUAUUUGGUUGGGGUGACAGGAAAAUUUAACAAACUAUUUUUAUAUAAGAACAAUAAUUUUUGAAUAUUUGAUCCAAUUUUAUUGAUUAAAAAAUUAAGUUACCUUAGGGAUAACAGCGUAAUUUUUUUAGAGAGUUCAUAUCGAUAAAAAAGAUUGCGACCUCGAUGUUGAAUUAAAGGU